GAUGAACGCUAGCGGGAGGCUUAACACAUGCAAGUCGAGGGGCAGCAUAGGGUAGCAAUACUCUGAUGGCGACCGGCAAACGGGUGAGUAACGCGUAUGCAACCUACCCUGUACAGGGGGAUAACCCGGAGAAAUUCGGACUAAUAUCCCGUAAUAAUAUCCGGAGGCAUCUUUGGAUAUUUAAAGUUUCGACGGUACGGGAUGGGCAUGCGUAACAUUAGCUGGUUGGUAAGGUAACGGCUUACCAAGGCUAUGAUGUUUAGGGGUCCUGAGAGGGUGGUCCCCCACACUGGUACUGAGACACGGACCAGACUCCUACGGGAGGCAGCAGUGAGGAAUAUUGGUCAAUGGGCGCAAGCCUGAACCAGCCCAUCCCGCGUGCAGGGAAGACGGCCCUAUGGGGUUGUAAACUGCUUUUCCAGGGGAGAGAAACUUACGCACGUGUUGCGUGACUGACGGUACCCUGGGAAUAAGCAUCGGCUAACUCCGUGC
RNAcentral lists this ribosomal RNA (492 nucleotides) under uncultured bacterium. RNAcentral describes it as "bacterial SSU rRNA". It matches the Rfam family "Bacterial small subunit ribosomal RNA", at positions 28 to 508 of the family's 1533-position model. The record is from RNAcentral.